GACUCUGAGUUCGUCCCCCAAGCCAGGCCCAGUCAGUCUCGGAGACCUUCUUGUCAGGAAAUCAAGCAGGACUUCUGCAACCUGCCCACAGUCCUGCUCUGAACAGAUGGGGGAGUCUGGACUUCCUCCCCCGAGUCCCCUUGGCCUUCAUUUCACCCAGCCUCUCCCACUGCCAGGGGUUCAGAGCCUGGGCUUGGUUUCCACAUGUCACAAUCUGGGAUCCUUGCUCUAGCACAUGCUUGCCAUGUGGCACCUGACUUCCAAUUCCCUUACCUGCUCGUGAGGACCCUCGGGAAGAACUGAAUGGAGACUGGUGUACGGGAAGGGCCCUGCUUUCCAGUACUCAGCAAGCCCAUCUGCUGGUGGUCUCCUCCUUGUCGCCCCCUCCUCAGGUCUCAAUAAAAGCUCUCAGCCCUCA
This is a long non-coding RNA of Acinonyx jubatus (cheetah), 418 nucleotides long. RefSeq lists it as uncharacterized. The transcript has 2 exons. Lineage: Eukaryota; Metazoa; Chordata; Mammalia; Carnivora; Felidae. The record is from RefSeq and is a predicted model, not a curated record.